GAUGGUUUGGUGUUACCACAUGAUAUGACUGCAAUAUGUAGGAGUGUCCAGUGGCUUGGUGGUUAAGAUGAACGCCAUGUGAGCACAGCAUUCCUCGGGUCAGUGCUAGGGCUUAACUUGUUAUUGAGGAAGAGAUCCUGUUGUAGUUGACAGCUGAGUGCUAACUCGACCAGACAAAAACAGCUUUGCUCCUGAUACACCACUGAGGCGACACUUUCAUUCUGUGCCACAGAUCUACAAACCUGAGAGAAAUGGUGUGACUGAUCAUCAACGCCUGCAGGUACGUGGUGCAGAAGAUCCAGGCUGCAGUGAGAGGUGAGGUGCAGCCAGAGAAAACAAGCACCACAGCAUGUGGCCUGGCAAAAGCAGAAAGGGAUGGCAGCCUCAACGCUGAUGAGUCAACCUUGAUUCCCCAACCAACAGAGAUGGUCGAUGUGCUGCGGAAGGAAGAGUGUGGAUCCUGAAAGUAAACUGAGAGCUGGAGGGUAGAGUGGAAGGUCCAUAAUGAGAAGUCAAACACAUGAAACACACACACACACACACACACACACACAGAGAAACAAACACUUCCUGGUUGAUGCUCUUCUUCAACUUGCCACUUUUAUAAAACAACAGACUUGGUGAGCUGUGAGGCUUCAUGAUCUUUUCAAACUAAAAAUCUGGCUUGGAAGGUAGUAUCGGACACACCAGGUUUUAAUGAUAUUCCCACAUUAAAAUUAAUAUCACAUAAUGUUGGUGAGCUGACUGUAUAUGGUUCUUUUCAAAUGUAAUGUAAAAAUCAGCAAUUCCGUGUUGCAGAUUUGUUUUUUGAUUUGUUUUUCAAAUAUCAUCUUUGCACUGACAGGCAAAUUUGUCUGUCUGUGUUCCCUCCACAGUCUCAACCUGACACAAACAAACACAGACACAAACAUUCAUAAAAACCCAGACAAAUAAACUCUGAAUUGGAUUGAACUCCCACCUGCUUCCAGCUCUUGGUUUUCUUUCCUGCUCAUCCUUCAUCCAGUGGAGAGAGCAGUCCGAGUUGGCAGAGAGAAUGAAAGCUUGAUCACCAAUUCCCCAUCAUAGGAACUGAUCAGUCUGGAUAAAUAUUGAGACUCUGCUGACGAAGCUGCAGCAAGUCAUAUAUUCAUGUAUUCAUAGACCUGUACUUAAAAAAUAGCAUAUA
Molecule: long non-coding RNA, 1165 nt
Organism: Siniperca chuatsi (mandarin fish)
Lineage: Eukaryota; Metazoa; Chordata; Actinopteri; Centrarchiformes; Sinipercidae
Exons: 3
Source: RefSeq, a predicted model, not a curated record